UAGUAAAUUUUACGCCAAAAUAGUUUUUCGCCAAAACAAACGUGCCAAAAUAGUUUUCCCCGUUCUAUUACUUUUUCGGUUUUCCCCAAUUUCUUAGUUUCCACUGCAACUAGGUUUUCUCUUUUCAUUAUUUUGCUAAACUAAGAUCUUGCAUCUGGUGUUCAAUUCUUCGAUCUCUUCCACUGUGUUCAACCUCAGAAUCUGAUUCAGGUAUUUCUGAGCUUGGCGGCAGUUUCAUCGGAGAUAGCAAGGUAGCUGCCUGGCGAUCACGGCUCUGCUUUCUCCCUCUUUAUUCUUCCUUAUGUAUUCUUGUGACUUUUCCUGACCCUAUUGGUCUUGAUGUGGUUAAACAACUGUAGUAGAUGCUUAUGACUAGUGACACCCCGAUGUAGGGCUUGUAUGUUA
Molecule: non-coding RNA, 405 nt
Organism: Nicotiana tabacum (common tobacco)
Lineage: Eukaryota; Viridiplantae; Streptophyta; Magnoliopsida; Solanales; Solanaceae
Source: RefSeq, a predicted model, not a curated record